CGCUGGCGGCAUGCCUUACACAUGCAAGUCGAACGGCAGCGCGGGGGCAACCCUGGCGGCGAGCGGCGAACGGGUGAGUAAUACAUCGGAACGUGUCCAGUAGCGGGGGAUAACCUGUCGAAAGAUAGGCUAAUACCGCAUACGAUCUACGGAUGAAAGCGGGGGACCGCAAGGCCUCGCACUAUUGGAGCGGCCGAUGUCGGAUUAGCUAGUUGGCGGGGUAAAAGCCCACCAAGGCGACGAUCCGUAGCUGGUCUGAGUGGACGACCAGCCACACUGGAACUGAGACACGGUCCAGACUCCUACGGGAGGCAGCAGUGGGGAAUUUUGGACAAUGGGGGCAACCCUGAUCCAGCCAUGCCGCGUGAGUGAAGAAGGCCUUCGGGUUGUAAAGCUCUUUCGGCGGGGACGAAACGGUCCGUGACAACACCACGGACUAAUGACGGUACUCGCAGAAGAAGCACCGGCUAACUACGUGCCAGCAGCCGCGGUAAUACGUAGGGUGCAGGCGUUAAUCGGAAUUACUGGGCGUAAAGCGUGCGCAGGCGGCUCCUUAAGUCAGAUGUGAAAUCCCCGGGCUUAACCUGGGAACUGCGUUUGAAACUGGGGAGCUAGAGUGUGGAAGAGGGGGGUGGAAUUCCAGGUGUAGCAGUGAAAUGCGUAGAGAUCUGGAGGAACACCGAUGGCGAAGGCAGCCCCCUGGG
Molecule: ribosomal RNA, 704 nt
Filed under: uncultured soil bacterium
Lineage: Bacteria
Description: bacterial SSU rRNA
Rfam family: Bacterial small subunit ribosomal RNA
Source: RNAcentral